RNAcentral lists this ribosomal RNA (720 nucleotides) under Triticum aestivum (bread wheat). RNAcentral's name for it is "partial small subunit ribosomal RNA". Lineage: Eukaryota; Viridiplantae; Streptophyta; Magnoliopsida; Poales; Poaceae. The record is from RNAcentral.
AUGGUGGACGGGGAGGCGGCUGCUGUGCGGAUGAUGCACCACCGGCUGGUGGCGACGGGCAAAUCGCAUGAGCCGCUCUCCUCCUUCAGCCAUCACUUUGAACGCCUGCCGCGGAGCUACUUGCACACCCGCUGUGUGGGGUCGCCGGAAGACGUGCUGCUCGACCAGAAGCUCCUCGCCGACACCGAAGCAAAGAAGCGCCUCGUCGCCCACGCCCGCCUCAUGCACCGUGUUCAGGUCCACUACGAUGAUGACGGCGGCGGCUAUCCGCGUGGGGCUCAGCCACCGCUGCCGGAGUUGAGAUCAAGUAGAAGUACAAUGCAAGAUGAAAACUUUACCCAUGAGAUUAUUUUUGCUUCCCGCGACAAACCCAAGCUUCUUAGCCAGAUAAUAUUCCUCCAAACCGGUCACCUCAUGUUAUCUGCAUUGAUGUAUGGGGUUGGAUUUCAUGUUCAUGAGGCUCACAUCUUCACCACAACUGAUGGAUUUUGUUUGAGCAUUUUUAAUGUUGAUGGUUGGCCUCAAGAGUUUUUGUACACUUCCCUUAUAUUCAAUGGGCUAUGUUAUGAUUUGUGCAUGGAAAGGCAUAUCAUACUUGAUAUUUUGUUUCCAGGAUGUCAAAGAUUGAAGAAUGCAUAUGUUGAAGAUGGAGAUAAAUUGGAUAUCCUAUUAGCCCCAUGGAGAUUUAUAAGUGUGUAUGCUGAUGUCAAUUAUCUGUAA